AACGCGAAGAACCUUACCUGGGCUUGACAUCCUCGGAAUCCUCCAGAAAUGGGGGAGUGCCUUCGGGAGCCGAGAGACAGGUGGUGCACGGUUGUCGUCAGCUCGUGUCGUGAGAUGUUGGGUUAAGUCCCGCAACGAGCGCAACCCUCGUUGUCUGUUGCUACAGGCUGCAAAGUGCUGAGCACUCAGGCGAGACUGCCGGUGACAAACCGGAGGAAGGUGGGGAUGACGUCAAAUCAUCAUGCCCCUUAUGUCCAGGGCUACACACGUGUUACAAUGGGAUAGGACAACGGGCAGCAAGCUAGCAAUAGCAAGCUAAUCCCUUAAACCUACCCUCAGUUCGGAUUGGAGUCUGCAACUCGACUCCAUGAAGUCGGAAUCGCUAGUAAACGCGGAUCAGCCAUGCCGCGUUGAAUACGUUCCCGGGCCUUGUA
RNAcentral lists this ribosomal RNA (434 nucleotides) under uncultured Cyanobacterium sp. Its description in RNAcentral is "bacterial SSU rRNA". It matches the Rfam family "Bacterial small subunit ribosomal RNA", at positions 958 to 1385 of the family's 1533-position model. Lineage: Bacteria; Bacillati; Cyanobacteriota; Cyanophyceae; Chroococcales; Geminocystaceae. The record is from RNAcentral.